Molecule: transfer RNA, 85 nt
Filed under: Candidatus Ventricola gallistercoris
Lineage: Bacteria; Bacillati; Bacillota; Clostridia; Eubacteriales
Description: tRNA-Tyr
Rfam family: tRNA
About the family: Transfer RNA (tRNA) molecules are approximately 80 nucleotides in length. Their secondary structure includes four short double-helical elements and three loops (D, anti-codon, and T loops). Further hydrogen bonds mediate the characteristic L-shaped molecular structure. tRNAs have two regions of fundamental functional importance: the anti-codon, which is responsible for specific mRNA codon recognition, and the 3' end, to which the tRNAs corresponding amino acid is attached (by aminoacyl-tRNA synthetases). tRNAs cope with the degeneracy of the genetic code in two manners: having more than one tRNA (with a specific anti-codon) for a particular amino acid; and 'wobble' base-pairing, i.e. permitting non-standard base-pairing at the 3rd anti-codon position.
Source: RNAcentral
GGGCAGGUUCCCGAGUGGCCAAAGGGAGCAGACUGUAAAUCUGCCGUCACAGACUUCGAUGGUUCGAAUCCAUCCCUGCCCACCA